CAAACAUAAGAAGCUACCAAGGACAAUAACUCCUAGAAUAACCCUAGGUCCCUUUAAAGCUUUAACUAAGUGCAUCCCAUUCUAACCCAAGGUCGGGUUGAGAGAUCUCAAUCCAGGUUAGUCUUGGCGGGCUCAAUCCAUUUUGGUGUUGAUUGACCCUAGCAGUCCAUACCACCUAUGCAUGAUGUAGUUUUGUAUAAUUAAUAUGGAAGAAAGGAACACAAUCCGAUAACGAGUACCUGUCUCAAGACACAAUGGAUGCAAAAAACUACACUGUUCUCGUGUUGAAGAUGCCCGUGCUCAUCCUUCCAUUGGCCACGGGUGCUGGGGGUAGCAUUCUCUCUCUCUCAAUUACUAUAUUUUUUCUUAUAUUCUCUCUCUCUCAACUAGUCCUACAUUACCGAAACCAAUUUUAUACUUAAUUGCACUCUCAAAUCUGUAUUUUUUUUUUUUUUUUUUUUAUUCAGAUCUGAGUAUACUCUUCUUCUUCUUUUUUCAUGAUCUUUAAUCUGACUUCAAAUCUAUUGUGCAUGUUGGAGGAGCUGGUAACGUUAAUAUGCUUCCCGCUAGGUUUCUGGAAAUGGUUAGACGUAAGUCCAGGGCUCUCAGACUGGCCCUUUAUCUGAACCUGGCCCACCUAGAAUUUGCAUGGUAUCAGAUGCCAUCCCCAGGCCCAUGCCAUUAAUCAAGCUGGGCCCAAACAUGGGGUGGGGUCUCUAUAGUCAAUGGGUUUUGUAGUCUUCUCCCCUUCCCUCUCCAGGGAUUAGAUUGGCCAAUGAUGAUAAAUGAUGGCCUCCUUAACAUGAUGCAUAAGGCAUUAUAGAUGAUAUGUUCAAAGUGUGUCGGAGCCGGCUUACAUGUAGAUACAAAAAUGAAGAAUCGAACCUGGGACCAUUCGUCUAUUUACACUAUCCCCAAUUCACCCUAAACAUCUGGGCAACCCACAGACAGGUUUUUUGAUCUUCUAUUUUUUUCUCUUUUGUUUUUGUUUUCUCAUAUCUAAUUGCCCUUUUAUUUCGGUUGAAUAUGAUGAAAUUUUCACUCUUUUAAUACUGAAUUUUUUAGAUUUUCUUCUACAAAAAAAAAAAAAAAAAGAUUUUCUAGCACCGAAUUAAUCUCCGGUUUAGGUUUUGAAAAUCAGAUUCGAUUAAUAAAUUUGUUGGGUUUUGUUUUAUGAUCAAAAAACCAAACCGAUAAACCGGACCAAUAUACACCAUUUCCUGUCUGCCUUUUUGAACUUGAAAAUCGAACCCGCGCCAGAUGGUAACGUAAUCUGCACCGUCCGUUAGAUGCCUCAUCUAUCAUUCACUUCCAUUGUGACUUAAUCGACGGAUCAUGUCAGCAUCCCAAUCGAAGCAAACCAAGAAUUCAAACUGUUUACUAUCCCUCUCCCCGGCCUGGUAUCCGCAGUGGCCAAACUCGCAAGAAUGCUUCGAAACUUCUCUCUCUGCUUCCCUCUUUAGUCUCUCUCUCUCUCUCUCUCUCUCUUCUCUUCUCUUCUGUUCUCUUCUCUUCAUUAGAGUACUGAGUCAAAUUCAUGGUUUUUAUCUGAAAAUGUCAACCCUCGAGAAGCUAUUCGUCCAGAUAUUUGAACGAAAGAACUGGAUCAUCGAUCAGGUUAAGCAGCAGAGAGAUUUACACGAACAGCAACUUGCUUCGAAACUAUUAAUUAAUGGAAUUUUCCCUCCUCCGUGGUUGUGGAAUGCUGGAAUAGAGAGAGGAACUGUAGAUUUCACUGAGCUGAAUAAAGAGGACCUUAUCUCCAGCCUCCUAAUCCCAUCUCUACGAUCCAAGGUCCCUUCUACUAGUGGUCACUGCACUUUUUACAGCAACCCAGUUGCUACAUCAGAUAAUGGACAUACUUCAGAGAGCUUAUUUUUGGAAACUUGUGCUUCCAACAAAUAUUUUGAGGCAGGGGGCAGGUUUUGCCAUCGUACCUAAAUGCCAUCUUAAUGAAAAUGAGCUUGAACAGAGAUGUACCUUAGACGAGGCUUGUGAGCUAGGUCCUACAAUCACUUCUCCUCAAGACCAGACAAGUGCAAGGACCUCUGAUAAUUACUUUGAACCAGGCCAAUCACUGGGAAGGAUCCAAAGGUCCAGGUCAAGACAAAAUGCUCUAGAACUUCGAAAUAGUGCAAAAACAAACCCGGAAAGGCAUUCAAGCAAGGAAGGUAGUCAUAGUGUUUAUUCUGGUAGAGUUACAAGGUCUAGAACUGCUUGUCAACUGUCUAACAAUGUCAAUGAGUUGCUGGAAUUGCAUAAGGCUUCCGAUAUUGCUAAUGAUAUUGGUCAUGGGGUUGCACUAGCAAAGACAGAGAAGUGUCAAAGAAGUGGAGAUGACACCAGUGAUCAUUCUGGUAGACUCAUCUCUAAUAAAGAUAUGGCCAGAAAUACAGCAUCUAGUAUUCUGGAGUUCAAUUACCCUGAAGGGUUAUCAGAAGCUAAUGACCCAAAAAUACCAAAUGAUAGAUUUGCAUGGUGUAGUUCUGUUUGCAAUGAUCAACAUUCUCGAAUUGAAAAACAAUUAAACAGGGUUGAAGGACAUGACCUCAAGGAAGCAUCAGAUGCUCAAGUUGAUAUCCUGCCAUGUCAUGAUGCCAAUGGUAUUGUUAACCAAGAAAAGGGGAAUACUGACAUUGCAGAAACUGAGAUUGUUUCAAAUGGGCCAGCUGAAGCCUGUUCUAUUCUACAGCUUAAUCGUGCCAGAGGAUUUUCACUAUCUAAUUAUUCUUCAAAAGUAGCCAGUGGUAGAGUUAAACGGUCUAAAUGUUCCUCUCCUGAUAAACCUCGUCAACUCUCAGAACCAUUGAAGUGGGUUGAAGGAGAUGACCUCCAGAAAGAAUCAGAAACUCAAGUGGGUAUCCUGCCAUGCAAAGAUGACCCUGGUAUUGUCAAUGAGGAAAACGGCAUCUUAGGAAUGGAGCAUGUUUCAAGUGAGCCAGCUCAACCCUGUGCUACUCAUUCUCGGUCUAACAUUCAUGGUGCUAGCCAUAGAGAUGGGUUGGAAUUGUUAAUCACUAGGCUACCUUCUGAGAGUGGUCCGCUUUUGGAGCCAAAGCAGCUUGUCUUUGAUGAUGUGGAUGUACACAAUUUGAAUGAGGGUGUUGAUCCUAUGGGAAGGGAGAUUCAAGGGAAAUCACUAGAAAUAAGAUCCUUUUCAUCGGUGCCUGCUGAAUCUUUCGAAAAGCUAGCCACUACUAAUUUGAGUGAGUCUAUUAUUGCAAAGAAUUCCAUUUUAUCAGAAAAAACAAAGAAGAAUUCUGUUGAGUGUUCAUGGCCUAAGUCUAAGCGGAGAAAAGUUGAGGAUCGAUCAAGUAAUGCCUUUACUGCUUCUGGAAGGUUAAGGAGGGGUAAACCACUUCAGGAGAUUCAUGAGGAGACUGAUUAUAGAUACCUGGAAAUUGGAGAAAAAGAGGUUGAGGCUAUCUCAGAGGUCCAGCAUUUCCCUCCCCAUGAAAUAGAUAUUGCUCAACCCGAUGCUAUGGAGAGCUCUGGUGUUGAAAUGCCUUUUCAGGAAGUGGAGUGUUUGGAAUCUCCAACCAAGUUGCAAGUCAAAGAGGGUGAGCUUGUCACGGAAGGGACAGAUCAAAGUGCAGAGUCAGCCUUGACAUGUAAUGAUGAACAAGUAGAGCAUUCUCUGGAAGACCAUGGUUCACUUCCAUAUUGUCUGGUUGGCUCUUCACUUACCAAGUAUGUUGACUUGAUCGUUGCUGAUCAAACCAUACCUGAAUUUGAGGGAUUCAGUAUCGGUGAAACAACAGAGAGUGAUCUGCCAUGCAUUGCCAAAAAUGAAAUUGAUCUUGAUCAUUCAGAUCUUCUAAGCACCUCAAUUGGACAGGUUAGUAUUCUGGACCAGUUAUACAGGUCUUAUAAAAUGCUUAUGCCACAACCCCAUGUUUCAGCAAAGUAUAAAGUGCAUCGAACACCAGACAUAUACCAGUCUUUACCUAAUGGACUUCUGGAGCACAUGGACCUGAGGAACUCUCUGCUCUUUAAUGCAAAUGAAAGUAAGCAAGUUAAGUGCAGCUACGAUGGGAUAAAUGAGGAAAAUUUCCACACUUUUCUGGGGACGCCAUACUCUGAAUGCAUGUCAUCUUCUAGUGUUCGAUUUGGUUGGGAUGUUAGUAGACCACCUUGCACACCUCCAGUUGGAAAGCUCUGUCAGAGAAAUACUUCAAAAUCCUCCAAUCAUAGUUUGGAGAAGCAAGAGUAUAAAAACCCAGAGCUUACUUGUUUUAGGAUUGAGGAAGAUCCCAGCAUUUGUGAGGAAAGCGGGGAUGCAGAUGAGAUUUUUGAUCCAUUCCAGGAAGGACAUCAGUCAUGGGGGAAGAAUGACUCGGCUAUAAGAAAACCACUUGCUGAUGUGGCUAAUGAAUGUCUUAACUCUUCUGCAUCUGUUUCUUUGGCUGAUAAGUUUGUUGAAAGAGGUAGCCUAGAAUCUGUUAAUGCAGGUUUUAAUAUCACUCAGACCCAAAUGGAUGCCAAACAGAAGCUUAGUUGCUAUGGAACUCGGAGAAACUAUAAGAACAAAGAUAAGGAGAAUCAAUGUGCUUCGCUAAGUGGCAUUGGUGCUUGGAAGGCCACCGAAUCUCUUAAAAAUAGGUUCAGCAAGCCAAAAUUAUCAGGGAAAGGAGGCCAGAGUUUAUUGGGGAAGGGGAAUCAACGAAACAAUAUUGUGUCCAAUAUGUCAUCGUCUAUACCAUUUGUUGAACAAAAAAGACCAACUGGAGCUUUUACAGGAAAGAGGGAUAUUAAAGUGAAAGCCCUGGAGGCUGCCGAGGCUGCAAAACGUCUUGAAGAGAAAAGAGAGAAUGAGCGUAAAAUGAAGAAAGAAGCAGUGAAGCUUGAGCGAGCAAGAUUGGAGCAGGAAAAUACCAGGCAACUAGAACUGAAUCAGAAAAAGAAAGAAGAGGAACGGAAGAAGAAGGAAGCUGACUUGGCAACAAGGAAAAGGUUGAGGGAAGAAGAAGAAAGGAAGGACAAGGAAAGAAAACGCAAGUGUAUUGAAGAAGCAAGGAGGCAGCAGGGAGAACACGAGGAGAGAUUAAGACUUGAAAAAGAGGAAAAAGAGAUUAGACGCCGGGCUGCAGACGAGAAACAGCUCAAGGGAAAUGAGCAGGCAGAUGAAGCAAGAAAGCUUCAAAAAAUGGGAAAAGGCAGGGAAGAAUCUGACUGUAGGAAAAAGACCUACACAGAACUGACUGCCAUGGUUUCUGCAUGUGAUACAAGAGAAGCUAGUGAUUUUCAUCAAGUUUGUCAGGCUUCAAAUGAGUCUACUGAAAUUGAAAAGAAAAUUUGCAACCCAUAUAAGGCACAUGAAGAUGUUAUCUCAGUUACUAAAGGAAGCCCGGAGCAGUCGUACGCAAUUUCCCCAUACCAAGAGUCAGAUGGCGAAGAGGAAGAAGAGGAUGGCAUGCCUAAUCAGAAAUUUAUCCCUUCAUGGGCCAGUGAAAACUGUCUGGCUCAACUAUUACCCACCUUAAAGAAAUUGGACCCAGAUGCAAUUUUCCCCCCAUCGAGCUUUUGCAGUAUAGCAGAAGUUCUUUUGCCUCGAAAGCAACAGCUGAGAUAGGUGGCAAUUUUUAUAAGCUGGAGAGUUUCCUGCUUUAUGUGGACAAGUGUUAUAGCUGCUGGGGAGAUUGCUAGGUCUUGCAGCUCAGCUCACUAUCUGGAUGUCGCAGUCCAAACCCAAAAGGAUUGGUGGGCCCUUUCCAAGAAAAUUAUAUUUUUUUAUACCUAAGUCGUGUCCAUCGGAGGCUCCUUGCAUUGGAAUUAAUGUGAAAAGGAAGAUAAAUACAAUAAUCUUAAAAUAAAAAAAGAAUCAAAAUGAAAAUUUGUCUAAUCAUUAUUGACAAGGAUUAGAUAACUAAUCUGAUAACUUAUUAAAUAUAAUAAGUAAAUUUUGAAGUUUUUUUAUCUAAA
Macadamia integrifolia is the source of this 5922-nucleotide RNA transcript. RefSeq lists it as uncharacterized. The transcript has 9 exons. NCBI's taxonomy places the organism in Eukaryota, Viridiplantae, Streptophyta, Magnoliopsida, Proteales, Proteaceae. The record is from RefSeq and is a predicted model, not a curated record.